This 30-nucleotide non-coding RNA is filed under the name Rattus norvegicus (Norway rat). The record is from RNAcentral. Lineage: Eukaryota; Metazoa; Chordata; Mammalia; Rodentia; Muridae.
UACAACUAUGGUGUCAUUAAGACUUCUCUU